GGAGUAACAAGAGAAAGCUUCUUGGCAGAGCUUCAAGACGAAGACGAACAGAUAGGAAACUCCAGCUCAGAGGUUGGAAAGGAGCUGGCUCCUGCACUCGCUCCCUGCUUCUCCCGAUGCAGGAUUUUUGAUCUCCGCCGGUGGACGCCGUGCUCAGGGGACUGGCACUAUUCCCCUCAUUUCCUAAAAGCCCCAGUGGAGCUCCAGGAUGGCUCCUGAGCCGGCCCAGCUCCCUGCAGCCUGCCCUGGCCACAGCUGCCUGUCCAUGUGUGUGCGGGCAGGAUCCUCCGACACACUGUAGAUCAAACCACAUCAAAGGGCCGCAGCGCAGAGCCACUGCCGCUCCCCUCAACUCCCUUGCCUUCAAAAGGUUUGAGGAAAGACCUGGAUAAAGGAGCACUUCCUGCUUUCUGAUGUGUGGGUAAGCCAGGAAAUAUUACCCUAUCUGCACAGCCCACCUAGGACAAGUGACAGCAGGUCUCUUUAAGUGUCCUUGUAGCCAUGAUUAAAAUAAUCAAUGUUUUUUACCUUUAA
This is a non-coding RNA of Lonchura striata (white-rumped munia), 534 nucleotides long. The record is from RefSeq and is a predicted model, not a curated record. Lineage: Eukaryota; Metazoa; Chordata; Aves; Passeriformes; Estrildidae.